GAUGAACGCUGGCGGCGUGCCUAAUACAUGCAAGUCGAGCGAACAGACGAGGAGCUUGCUCCUCUGACGUUAGCGGCGGACGGGUGAGUAACACGUGGAUAACCUACCUAUAGACUGGGAUAACUUCGGGAAACCGGAGCUAAUACCGGAUAAUAUAUUGAACCGCAUGGUUCAAUAGUGAAAGACGGUUUUGCUGUCCCUUAUUGAUGGAUCCGCGCCGCAUUAGCUAGUUGGUAAGGUAACGGCUUACCAAGGCAACGAUGCGUAGCCGACCUGAGAGGGUGAUCGGCCACACUGGAACUGAGACACGGUCCAGACUCCUACGGGAGGCAGCAGUAGGGAAUCUUCCGCAAUGGGCGAAAGCCUGACGGAGCAACGCCGCGUGAGUGAUGAAGGUCUUCGGAUCGUAAAACUCUGUUAUUAGGGAAGAACAAAUGUGUAAGUAACUAUGCACGUCUUGACGGUACCUAAUCAGAAAGCCACGGCUAACUACGUG
This 496-nucleotide ribosomal RNA is filed under the name uncultured bacterium. RNAcentral describes it as "partial 16S ribosomal RNA". It matches the Rfam family "Bacterial small subunit ribosomal RNA", at positions 28 to 507 of the family's 1533-position model. The record is from RNAcentral.